This 486-nucleotide long non-coding RNA is filed under the name Homo sapiens (human). RNAcentral describes it as "HSALNT0336840". The record is from RNAcentral. Lineage: Eukaryota; Metazoa; Chordata; Mammalia; Primates; Hominidae.
UGUAGCAAGAGGCCAGGAUUAUUUUUAGUUGGAAAAGCUUCAUUUACUUCUCACAAGGUACAGGAGAGGAGAACACCUUUAAAAAUGGAGACCUAUGUCACUUUUACAAAGGAAAAUUUAUGCUGUGAUUUUAGGCAGAAAGUUGACACCAGAGAAUUCUUCCUGCUGCUUCUCAAUUUCCUUCAGCUCAAAAAUGAUCCUUAUGCCAAUAUGGAAUAUUUUUGGGGUGGCAUAUUCUGCUCCUCUUCAGCAUCCUUCCUGCUCUGUGGCCUGUUGUGCUUCAAUUUCGUCAUCUUCAAAACCAGGAAGAGCUAUAUUCAUCUUAUCUCACAAAGCUGAUUAACAUAAAUGAAGGAGCCUUGGAAAAUGGAAAGCAUUAUACAAAUUAGGGUAUAACCACAUGACUAAUGUCACAUAUAAAAAUGGAGAACGGGUGCACAUUAAAGAGUAGAGGUGCCUUCCACCAUGACUGUAAGUUUCCUGAGG